ACAAGGGCCGGGCAAGACCGGUGCCAGCCGCCGCGGUAACACCGGCGGCUCGAGUGGUGAUCGUGAUUAUUGGGUCUAAAGGGUCCGUAGCCGGGUUGGUCAGUCUUCCGGGAAAUCUGACGGCUCAACCGUCAGGCGUUCAAGGGAUACUGCCAGUCUUGGAACCGGGAGAGGUGAGGGGUACUUCAGGGGUAGGAGUGAAAUCCUGUAAUCCUCGAGGGACCACCUGUGGCGAAGGCGUCUCACCAG
RNAcentral lists this ribosomal RNA (249 nucleotides) under uncultured archaeon. Its description in RNAcentral is "partial 16S ribosomal RNA". It matches the Rfam family "Archaeal small subunit ribosomal RNA", at positions 435 to 683 of the family's 1478-position model. The record is from RNAcentral.